Molossus molossus (Pallas's mastiff bat) is the source of this 2920-nucleotide long non-coding RNA. RefSeq lists it as uncharacterized. The record is from RefSeq and is a predicted model, not a curated record. NCBI's taxonomy places the organism in Eukaryota, Metazoa, Chordata, Mammalia, Chiroptera, Molossidae. The transcript is spliced from 4 exons.
UGAGUCUGAAAGGACGGGGCGGGGCGUGACUUCAGGAACCUGGAGUAGACGGCUGUGCAGAGGGGACUCCUGCCAGGGCUGUGACCUUUGAUAUCAAGACGUAGUGGAUGCUGCUUUCUGGCCAGGAAGGAGCUGGGGGAUAAAUAUCUCAACCUUACCCUCUUCUUGCUCUUUCAGCCACAGCCUGGUGCUUCUGAUCGACCAGAUCCUAGCUGAGAAGCCUGAGGUCCAGGGAGCCUGCUGAUCAAGUCCAUGAAGGAAAGACACUCAACGUCAGAAGUAGAUACCCCUGCUGGAACUCACGCAGAGCACACGAGAGCGCUCUGAUUAGGACCCGGGGCAGUCCUGACUCCCAAGUUCCCUCUCCUUCUGUGCUUCUGUGCACUGAGUAAAGAAAAGAAUUGCUGAUCCAGGGAGGGCAUAUUGGGAGGUGAGGUAAGAUACACAGAAGUGUCAGAGGGGACAUUAUUCAGUCUUUUGGUAGAAGGAGAAAAAGCGGUCUGUGGUCAAAAACAAAACAAACCCCAGUGAAAACAUACGGCUAAUCAAGAAGAGGAGGCGAAGAGGGUCUUACCAGUGAACAGAAAAUAUUCUGGGUGAAGAUAGAGCUCAGAGUGAGAGAAGCCCCAUGUUUGGCCACCUCUUCAAGGCCAGAUCUACAUGCAGACCAUGGGUGUCUCUGCUCUCGGGCAGGCGGACCCUCCUGACCCGCCCCUGAGACAUACACCAGGCAAAGUGACCCGAGAACAUCUGAGCCGCAGAGCAGAUCGGGAGGAGAACGGGUCUUGGAAAGUCCCCCAGCAGGAGGGGGAAGAAUCAAGGAGCAUUUUGCCGAGAAGGUGCCACAUGGUGCCACUGUUUUCUAUUUCUGAGUGGUUGGUGUCCAGCUGACAGAAAAGCCACAAGAGGGUUUGCUUCUAUUUCUGCUUCUGUUUUUACCAGUAGCCAAGAGACACCAUUGACAUGGGCCAUUCCGGCUUGCCUUAAGGUUUUAGGCUCAGCACUAGAGUACCAGACUUGGCUUCACCAACUGUGCUGGCCCAGAGCAUCCUGAUGGUCCCGAGAUCCUGCUUGGGGCAAGCUGCCCCACCCCCACCCAGCUGCUCCAGUCGGAGCUCCCCUCUAGUUCAGCCCUAGCCAGUCUUUUUGGGGAGGAAAUGACACAGAUUUGCCUUUCACUUGGAAGAUCAACCAUUCCUCAAAAAGCAAGUCCUGGAGAAAGCUUCGUGGUGAACACUGAGCGUGGAGGAAGGGUUUAGGGAUAGAGAGGAAGCUUCAAAGCUGUGAGAAGCUUUAUUUCUUAAGCUGAGUGGAGAAGCUAAAGAAGAGUUUGUGGCUGUUUUACUAAAAUCCCUCUGUGACGUUGGGAGGACACAAAGACACCAGCAGCAGUACUUUGCACAACUCCUACUAUAGACAGUGCCCUCAGCACAGGUGUCAGGGCCCUAAGGAACAGCCGGGCACAGCGGGCACAGCUGGAGACACACCCAGAGUGAGCUGGGUGGGAAGGAGGGAAAUGACAUAUGGUAGCCUUGUGGGUUUGUUCAUGGGAAGACUUUUGGGGAAUCUCAUCUGAAAUUGAGAGGAAUCUGGGGUGAAGCACUCACAGAUAUGGUGUGAAUAGUUCAGGGAAAUAUUGUAUAUGCUGAGUCUAUAAGCUACUGCAGCCCUGGGUUUAAGGAUCAUGCAAAUAUCACAUAAAUAAUAGCCCAGAUUCCCCUGUGGGUCUUGAGAGCAUCCUUAAAAUCGUUGCUUUCACAUAAUAGCAACACCAGUUGUAGUUGCUCUUGUAUUUCAAGUCUACGCACAUCUUUUUGGUUGCCCAGUAACAUACCACGGAGAAGCAAUUUACAAAUGUAGCCAUGGUGCUUAGAGACAUUAAUUCCACUCUUAUGCUGAACAGAUUUUUCUCAGGGUGUGUUUUUUCCACUGUAGGACCAGGACCAUUAAGAUAGCAGCAUAGUAAAGAUAUCUAACUCUUAUCUAUGGGUCAGGAUAUUAAAAAGCCAUAUAAUUGGACACCUGUCUAGAAAUAUUAUUAACUAUUACAUUGAAACUGACCUAGUAGUAAAUGAGAAAACAGCAAGCUAGGGAGGUUUGGAUAAUUUCACUCAAUUCUAUGUUCUGCCCAAUUUACCAGGUCAAAUAUAGAUAUACAUGUUUGAAAAUCAGUCAUGUAAUAUUUCUGGACAAUUUUCAUAAAAUGGAUUAUCUGUCAUAGUUCUCUAAAGCUUUGACCUCUUGAGACACAGUAACACUUUAGGAUGGUGCUCUGAGCCAGACUUACACAGCAUUCGCCAGCACGCAUAAUUUGAGGGGCCCCAAGGGCUGCACACCCAAAAAUAAUAACUCUAUGCACUGUCUCCUAUUGUCUCUGAAAGUUGGAUUCAUUGCCCACAUGUCUUCUGGAGUUGAAAGAUUGUUUGUCUUUGUUCUUUCCUUUUUAAUAAUCUGUUUGUUUGUUUUUACUAUCAAUGAGGAAUGUCCAAUUGAUAAAGAAGUGUUUUCUGGUUGUCUUUUAUUUGCUCUUGUUACCUGGCAAACAACCUAAUUCUUAAUGAUGCCGGUACAUAGGAGAGUAGCAAUCACAGUCAUGAUGGUUGUUAUUGUUGCUAGAAUUGAGAUACAACUUGCAUGAAUUGAACAGUGUUCAGUAUUGAGCUCAAUAAAUUUUUACAUGUGCGUAUACCCAAGUAACCACUCCCCAGAGGUUCCUUCCUGUCUCUUUCCAGUCAAUACCCAGCUCUGUCUCCCCUCCAACCCACACCAAAAGGUAAACAGUUCUGACUUCUAUCACCAUAGCUUGGUUGUGCCUAUUUUAGAAAUUUUAUAAAUAGAAUUAUUCACUAUGUGCUCCUUGGUGUCUGGCUUUUUCAACUUCACUUUAUGUGGGUGAGACUCAUUCAUGUUGUUGCAUUUA